AUGACUUAUUAGUAAUAUAAAUUUAUAUAGAUGAUAUCAUUUUCGAUGCUACUAAUGAGUCUCUUUGUCAAAAAUAAUGUAAGAUGAGUUUGAGAUAAGCAUGAUGGAAGAACUAAAUUUUUUUUUAGACUCUAAAUUAAGCAAACAGAAGAGAAAAUCCUCAUCAACCAAACAAAGUAUACAAAAAAAAAUACUCAAAAAAUUGAAAAUAGAGACAACAAAAUCAAUUGACAC
This 234-nucleotide long non-coding RNA is filed under the name Elaeis guineensis (African oil palm). RNAcentral describes it as "long non-coding RNA (EGUI_LNC007972)". Lineage: Eukaryota; Viridiplantae; Streptophyta; Magnoliopsida; Arecales; Arecaceae. The record is from RNAcentral.